This 178-nucleotide ribosomal RNA is filed under the name Pseudomonas aeruginosa. RNAcentral's name for it is "partial 16S ribosomal RNA". It matches the Rfam family "Bacterial small subunit ribosomal RNA", at positions 1 to 169 of the family's 1533-position model. The record is from RNAcentral. Lineage: Bacteria; Pseudomonadati; Pseudomonadota; Gammaproteobacteria; Pseudomonadales; Pseudomonadaceae.
AGCAGUAUUGAACUGAAGAGUUUGAUCAUGGCUCAGAUUGAACGCUGGCGGCAGGCCUAACACAUGCAAGUCGAGCGGAUGAAGGGAGCUUGCUCCUGGAUUCAGCGGCGGACGGGUGAGUAAUGCCUAGGAAUCUGCCUGGUAGUGGGGGAUAACGUCCGGAAACGGGCGCUAAUAC